GAACGCUGGCGGCGUGCCUAAUACAUGCAAGUCGAGCGAAUGGAUUAAGAGCUUGCUCUUAUGAAGUUAGCGGCGGACGGGUGAGUAACACGUGGGUAACCUGCCCAUAAGACUGGGAUAACUCCGGGAAACCGGGGCUAAUACCGGAUAAUAUUUUGAACUGCAUGGUUCGAAAUUGAAAGGCGGCUUCGGCUGUCACUUAUGGAUGGACCCGCGUCGCAUUAGCUAGUUGGUGAGGUAACGGCUCACCAAGGCAACGAUGCGUAGCCGACCUGAGAGGGUGAUCGGCCACACUGGGACUGAGACACGGCCCAGACUCCUACGGGAGGCAGCAGUAGGGAAUCUUCCGCAAUGGACGAAAGUCUGACGGAGCAACGCCGCGUGAGUGAUGAAGGCUUUCGGGUCGUAAAACUCUGUUGUUAGGGAAGAACAAGUGCUAGUUGAAUAAGCUGGCACCUUGACGGUACCUAACCAGAAAGCCACGGCUAACUACGUGCCAGCAGCCGCGGUAAUACGUAGGUGGCAAGCGUUAUCCGGAAUUAUUGGGCGUAAAGCGCGCGCAGGUGGUUUCUUGAGUCUGAUGUGAAAGCCCACGGCUCAACCGUGGAGGGUCAUUGGAAACUGGGAGACUUGAGUGCAGAAGAGGAAAGUGGAAUUCCAUGUGUAGCGGGUGAAAUGCGUAGAGAUAUGGAGGAACACCAGUGGCCAAGGCGACUUUCUGGUCUGUAACUGACACUGAGGCGCGAAAGCGUGGGGGAGCAAACAGGAUUAGAUCCCCUGGGUAGUCCACCCCGUAACGAU
This 801-nucleotide ribosomal RNA is filed under the name uncultured Bacillus sp. RNAcentral describes it as "bacterial SSU rRNA". It matches the Rfam family "Bacterial small subunit ribosomal RNA", at positions 31 to 810 of the family's 1533-position model. The record is from RNAcentral. Lineage: Bacteria; Bacillati; Bacillota; Bacilli; Caryophanales; Bacillaceae.